GACGAACCGUGCGAACGUUGUUCGGAAUCACUGGGCUUAAAGGGUGCGUAGGCGGGCUCGUUAGUCGGGGGUGAAAUCCCACGGCCCAACCGUGGAAGUGCCUCCGAUACUGCGAGUCUAGAGGGGAACAGGGGCAUGCGGAACUUCCGGUGGAGCGGUGAAAUGCGUAGAUAUCGGAAGGAACACCGGUGGCGAAAGCGGCGUGCUGGAUUCCUACUGACGCUGAGACACGAAAGCCAGGGGAGCGAACGGG
This 253-nucleotide ribosomal RNA is filed under the name uncultured bacterium. RNAcentral's name for it is "partial 16S ribosomal RNA". It matches the Rfam family "Bacterial small subunit ribosomal RNA", at positions 524 to 776 of the family's 1533-position model. The record is from RNAcentral.